AAUCCAUAGGUUAAUGAGGCGAACCGGGGGAACUGAAACAUCUAAGUACCCCGAGGAAAAGAAAUCAACCGAGAUUCCCCCAGUAGCGGCGAGCGAACGGGGAGGAGCCCAGAGCCUGAAUCAGCAUGUGUGUUAGUGGAAGCGUCUGGAAAGGCGCGCGAUACAGGGUGACAGCCCCGUACACAAAAGCGCAUGUGCUGUGAGCUCGAUGAGUAGGGCGGGACACGUGGUAUCCUGUCUGAAUAUGGGGGGACCAUCCUCCAAGGCUAAAUACUCCUGACUGACCGAUAGUGAACCAGUACCGUGAGGGAAAGGCGAAAAGAACCCCGGCGAGGGGAGUGAAAAAGAACCUGAAACCGUGUACGUACAAGCAGUGGGAGCACCCUUUGGGGUGUGACUGCGUACCUUUUGUAUAAUGGGUCAGCGACUUAUAUUCUGUAGCAAGGUUAACCGUAUAGGGGAGCCGGAGGGAAACCGAGUCUUAACCGGGCGUUAAGUUGCAGGGUAUAGA
This 511-nucleotide ribosomal RNA is filed under the name Salmonella enterica subsp. enterica serovar Oranienburg. Its description in RNAcentral is "partial 23S ribosomal RNA". It matches the Rfam family "Bacterial large subunit ribosomal RNA", at positions 161 to 713 of the family's 2925-position model. The record is from RNAcentral. Lineage: Bacteria; Pseudomonadati; Pseudomonadota; Gammaproteobacteria; Enterobacterales; Enterobacteriaceae.